Molecule: ribosomal RNA, 790 nt
Filed under: Enterobacter bugandensis
Lineage: Bacteria; Pseudomonadati; Pseudomonadota; Gammaproteobacteria; Enterobacterales; Enterobacteriaceae
Description: partial 16S ribosomal RNA
Source: RNAcentral
AGGUGUAGCGGUGAAAUGCGUAGAGAUCUGGAGGAAUACCGGUGGCGAAGGCGGCCCCCUGGACAAAGACUGACGCUCAGGUGCGAAAGCGUGGGGAGCAAACAGGAUUAGAUACCCUGGUAGUCCACGCCGUAAACGAUGUCGACUUGGAGGUUGUGCCCUUGAGGCGUGGCUUCCGGAGCUAACGCGUUAAGUCGACCGCCUGGGGAGUACGGCCGCAAGGUUAAAACUCAAAUGAAUUGACGGGGGCCCGCACAAGCGGUGGAGCAUGUGGUUUAAUUCGAUGCAACGCGAAGAACCUUACCUACUCUUGACAUCCAGAGAACUUAGCAGAGAUGGUUUGGUGCCUUCGGGAACUCUGAGACAGGUGCUGCAUGGCUGUCGUCAGCUCGUGUUGUGAAAUGUUGGGUUAAGUCCCGCAACGAGCGCAACCCUUAUCCUUUGUUGCCAGCGGUCCGGCCGGGAACUCAAAGGAGACUGCCAGUGAUAAACUGGAGGAAGGUGGGGAUGACGUCAASUCCAUCAUGGCASYUUMCSAGAYAKKRCUACACMCGUSCKMCAMUGGCGCWYACMMAGAGAAGCRASCUCKCGWGWGCWASCGUUCGACYKCAUAAAGUGCGUCGUAGUCCGGAUUGGAGUCUGCAACUCGACUCCAUGAAGUCGGAAUCGCUAGUAAUCGUGGAUCAGAAUGCCACGGUGAAUACGUUCCCGGGCCUUGUACACACCGCCCGUCACACCAUGGGAGUGGGUUGCAAAAGAAGUAGGUAGCUUAACCUUCGGGAGGGCGCUA